RNAcentral lists this ribosomal RNA (484 nucleotides) under uncultured bacterium. RNAcentral's name for it is "partial 16S ribosomal RNA". It matches the Rfam family "Bacterial small subunit ribosomal RNA", at positions 29 to 507 of the family's 1533-position model. The record is from RNAcentral.
AUUGAACGCUGGCGGCAUGCUUUACACAUGCAAGUCGAACGGCAGCGCGGGCUUCGGCCUGGCGGCGAGUGGCGAACGGGUGAGUAAUACAUCGGAACGUGCCCAGUAGUGGGGGAUAGCUCGGCGAAAGCCGGAUUAAUACCGCAUACGACCUGAGGGUGAAAGCGGGGGAUCUUCGGACCUCGCGCUAUUGGAGCGGCCGAUGGCAGAUUAGCUAGUUGGUGGGGUAAAGGCCUACCAAGGCGACGAUCUGUAGCUGGUCUGAGAGGACGACCAGCCACACUGGGACUGAGACACGGCCCAGACUCCUACGGGAGGCAGCAGUGGGGAAUUUUGGACAAUGGGCGAAAGCCUGAUCCAGCAAUGCCGCGUGUGUGAUGAAGGCCUUCGGGUUGUAAAGCACUUUUGGCGGGAACGAAAAGGACUGUGCCAAUACCACGGUUCGAUGACGGUACCCGCAGAAUAAGCACCGUCUAACUACGUG